This is a non-coding RNA of Parasteatoda tepidariorum (common house spider), 337 nucleotides long. The record is from RefSeq and is a predicted model, not a curated record. Lineage: Eukaryota; Metazoa; Arthropoda; Arachnida; Araneae; Theridiidae.
ACAAGUUUAAGAGAUUUUUGGAAUGAUGUAUUAAUCGAUUAAUCUAUUUAUCGAUUUUUUUUCUGUUCCCAUGCGAUUUAAAUAUUGCCUUUUCAUUAAUCGAAAUCAUACUAAUGAUUUUUGCCAUGGCGGAUGAAGGUGCAUCUUCCAGUAGUAAUUCUGUGGAUGAGGUUGACGGAAGAAUAGAUAGCCAACCUCUUUCAAAUUCGACAUCAAGUCCUGAUACUGACAAUUGUGUAGUUGUAAGUAGUUCAAGCCAGCCAGAAAGUGUCAAUCAAGGUAAAGUUAUUUUUAAUAUUUGUUUUUGAUUUUUAAUAAUAAUAUCCAAUGUUAAAAU